Molecule: ribosomal RNA, 593 nt
Filed under: uncultured bacterium
Lineage: Bacteria
Description: bacterial SSU rRNA
Rfam family: Bacterial small subunit ribosomal RNA
Source: RNAcentral
CCUACGGGAGGCAGCAGUGGGGAAUCUUGCGCAAUGGGCGAAAGCCUGACGCAGCAACGCCGCGUGCGGGAAGAAGGCCUUAGGGUUGUAAACCGCUUUCAGUAGGAACGAAAAUGACGGUACCUGCAGAAGGAGGUGCGGCCAACUACGUGCCAGCAGCCGCGGUGACACGUAGGCACCAAGCGUUGUCCGGAUUUAUUGGGCGUAAAGAGCUCGUAGGCGGUUCAGUAAGUCGGGUGUGAAAACUCUGGGCUUAACCCAGAGCCGCCACUCGAUACUGCUGUGACUUGAGUUCGGUAGGGGAGCAGGGAAUUCCUAGUGUAGCGGUGAAAUGCGCAGAUAUUAGGAGGAACACCGGUGGCGAAGGCGCUGCUCUGGGCCGAUACUGACGCUGAGGAGCGAAAGCGUGGGUAGCAAACAGGAUUAGAUACCCUGGUAGUCCACGCCGUAAACGUUGGGCACUAGGUGUGGGUUCCAACCAACGGAAUCCGCGCCGUCGCUAACGCAUUAAGUGCCCCGCCUGGGGAUCGGCGGCAACGCUAAAACUCAAAGGAAUUGACGGCNGAGACGNGCGACGACGACGACGAGGAGAG